GCGGCUAUAGCUCAGUGGUAGAGCACUGGAUUGUGGUUCCGGGUGUCGUGGGUUCGAUCCCCAUUAGCCGCCCCA
RNAcentral lists this transfer RNA (75 nucleotides) under Alphaproteobacteria bacterium CG_4_10_14_0_8_um_filter_53_9. RNAcentral describes it as "tRNA-His". It matches the Rfam family "tRNA". Rfam says of the family: Transfer RNA (tRNA) molecules are approximately 80 nucleotides in length. The record is from RNAcentral. Lineage: Bacteria; Pseudomonadati; Pseudomonadota; Alphaproteobacteria.